This 379-nucleotide unclassified non-coding RNA is filed under the name uncultured Elusimicrobia bacterium. Its description in RNAcentral is "contains 16S-23S intergenic spacer region". Lineage: Bacteria; Pseudomonadati; Elusimicrobiota; Elusimicrobia. The record is from RNAcentral.
UCCGGUUUGUCACCGGCAGUCCCAUUAGAGUGCUCAACUGAAUGUAGCAACUAAUGGCAAGGGUUGCGCUCGUUGCGGGACUUAACCCAACAUCUCACGACACGAGCUGACGACAACCAUGCAGCACCUCUGCUGGCUCCCUUGCGGGUCAGCCACUGUUUCCAGCGGCUUACCACCAGUAGUUCAAGCCCAGGUAAGGUUCUUCGCGUUGCGUCGAAUUAAACCACAUGCUCCACCGCUUGUGCGGGCCCCCGUCAAUUCCUUUGAGUUUCAACCUUGCGGCCGUACUCCCCAGGCGGCUCAUUUAAUGCGUUAGCUUCGGCGCAGGGGGGGUCGAUACCUCCCACACCUAAUGAGCAUCGUUUAUGGCUAGGACUAC